CCGGCGACGGGGAGCGCCGGAUCCGCUUCCCCCCUUACGAAGGGGGGAUACAGGGGGGUGCUUGGAUCGCCUCGGCCGGCCC
RNAcentral lists this transfer RNA (82 nucleotides) under Aquisphaera giovannonii. RNAcentral's name for it is "tRNA-Arg". The record is from RNAcentral. Lineage: Bacteria; Pseudomonadati; Planctomycetota; Planctomycetia; Isosphaerales; Isosphaeraceae.